GUAGGGAAUAUUGGACAAUGGGCGAAAGCCUGAUCCAGCCAUGCCGCGUGAUAGAUGAAGGCCCUCUGGGUUGUAAAUAUCUUUUAUCUGGGAAGAAACUCCUCUAUUCUUAGAGGCCUGACGGUACCAGAGGAAUAAGCACCGGCUAACUCCGUGCCAGCAGCCGCGGUAAUACGGAGGGUGCAAGCGUUAUCCGGAUUCACUGGGUUUAAAGGGUGCGUAGGCGGGUUGAUAAGUCAGUGGUUAAAGCUCCGGGCUUAACUUGGAAACUGCCAUUGAUACUGUCAAUCUUGAAUGUCGUAGAGGUAAGCGGAAUGUUGCAUGUAGCGGUGAAAUGCUUAGAUAUGUUACAGAACACCAAUUGCGAAGGCAGCUUACUAUGCGAUAAUUGACGCUGAGGCACGAAAGCGUGGGGAGCAAACAGGAUUAGAUACCCCGGUAGUCC
This 445-nucleotide ribosomal RNA is filed under the name uncultured bacterium. Its description in RNAcentral is "partial 16S ribosomal RNA". It matches the Rfam family "Bacterial small subunit ribosomal RNA", at positions 354 to 796 of the family's 1533-position model. The record is from RNAcentral.